UGUAGUUUUAAGGCGGGGGGGGAGGGGCGGGGGGAGCUUACUCUUUCAAAAAGUAAUUAUACAUGAAUGUCCCUUGCGCAUUGUUACCAUAUUUUAGUUUGUGCCGCAGUGCCAAGUUUGAACAGUUUAAUUCCUCCAUUCCUUACUUUUGUUAUGUGUAGUCAGUAUUUGCAGAAGCGUGAUUAUUAACAGGGUACCCAGAUUUAACAGAUAAAAAUAUAGGAUGCCCAAUUAAUCUGAAUUUCAAACAAUUGUUUUUAAGUACAAACAUUAAAAAACUAUUCGUUUACCCGAAAUUCGAAUUUAACUGGACGUUCUGUAUUGCAUUGGACAAAUUCUGCUUCAUUGUUCUUUCAAAUGAUUUAACUUCCUACAAAAAUCUCUGUAUGUGAGGCAAAAAGUAACUUGCCUGGGCCAACAGCACAUGAGGCUCACGGCAGGCGGCCUUCUCCCAAACUUGGCCUUUAAAAAAACAACAAAAAAAAACCCACCCAGAAGUCCCAGGAGCGUGCGCAUUAAAGCGAGCCGUGAGCCGCUUUCCCGCCGGUUUUCUGCGAAAUGCAGCACAGUGGCCACCCGCGGGGUGGAGCGCAAAUGGCCGUGUCCUUGCGGGAUAGGAAAGGAGGUGCCGGAAACUUUGAACCCCUGCCAGAGUACAACGUGUCCACUUAGACGGCGGUGCUGCGGGUACAGCUGUGAACAGAAGUGACGAAGUCCCUCAGAGCAUCUACACUAGUAGAGAGACAGACCCACACACCGCAAUGUCAGAAGCCGACAGGUGCUCUGAAGAAAAGUCACAGUAAGAAGAGUGACAAGACAGUCCUUGUAGAGGACCUCCCUGGGAAGGCACUGUGUGAACAAAGAUCUGAACGAGCGAGGUGAUAUCCCAGAGUCCCUUCCUGUGCUCCUCCUUCCUUCCCUCAGGGACCUGCCAACCCUCUGGGCCCGGGUAGAUUGGGGGCUGCAGUGCCACGUGCAGCUGCCAAAGCACUCCUGAGGCAAAGCAACCAACAAGCAGCAUUGCUUUCUCUUCCCUGGUCCGCGCAGUCGCCAUCCUCCACAUCCCAUGAGCACGGCAUUUGUACCUGCCAGGUCCACAUGUCUGUCUCUUGCACAAGACUGGUUAUUCUCAGAUUUUAAUGUGCUGAAGAAUCGCUUGGGGUGCUAACUGAACAAAUUUAGAUUCAAGGGGCCACUCUGUAAACGUUCCGAAUGUGUCGAGCUGCGCCCAGGCACCAGCUUAUGUAGGCAAGGGCCAGGUCAUUCCAACGCAAGUGGUGGGGGAGCCUAGCCUCGAAGACACGGUCAUCGGCAAUAAGCUCCUCAAGGGGCAAGGUCUGAACUGGCCUGUUUCUGUCCCCAGAACGCAGAGCAUUUGGUGAGCAGUCAAUAAAUAACCAAGAGAAGCAUCUGCCUCAUCGGACACUGACCCUUGUUCUGCUUACAGCGAACACCCCUUCAGGUGGUCACCUUCUCUUCCUUCCCAAGAUUCAACUUCUGGAGGCCAGAGACCCCACUUUGCAUUUCUUCUGUGGGCCUAGCAGUAUUUUUUCAGAGUAAAUAACAAGAGACCUUCAGGACAUACUUACUGAGACAAAGAAUAAAUGAGAGGAAGGGAGGAAGAAAAAUAAUACCACGUAUGAGAUCUAGUCAGAGGACGCUCUAAUAUGGUGACCGGGCCGAUUUAGUUUUUUACCUUGGACACUUCCAAGCAGCCACCCAAAUCCAACAUGCUGAUAUUGGACACAAGUAGCAGACUCUUUCCUUUUCUUCCCCUGUCCUCACUGGAGCUGCUAACAAACAAAAAACUCAGUGUAAGGGAGUGGGCAGGAAAGAGUCUGGGGGCACAGAAGAGCCUUGGCUAAUGUGCCCCUGAAGGAGCCAAGUGCUGACUGCUCUCGCAGGACCCUCGGCUUCAGAGCACUUAGAGACGUCCUUAACGUCAUCGCCGGGCAUCUAUUUACACAGGAGCUUGUGACAAGCGAGUCUUUAAUCGAGUACUUCUACUCAGGGCUCGGCUGCAGGCUGCUGCUUCAGUGUUUGUGUAAUGUGUGCUCACCUCUUUGCUCUAUUACUGAUGACAUUUCAAUGACAUGUUGGGAGGGCUCACACUAGUGUAAGCUGACGCCAGCUUCUUGAAGCUACUUUAAAAAAGAAUCCAUCAGUGGGAAUGCAAGCUGGUGCAGCCACUCUGGAAAACAGUAUGGAGGUUCCUCAAAAAACUAAAAAUAGAACUACCCUACGACCCAGCAAUUGCACUACUAGGCAUUUAUCCAAGGGAUACAGGUGUGCUGUUUUGAAGGGACACAUGCACCCCCAUGUUUAUAGCAGCACUAUCAACAACAGCCAAAGUAUGGAAAGAGCCCAAAUAUCCAUCGCUG
Long non-coding RNA from Felis catus (domestic cat), 2381 nucleotides. RefSeq lists it as uncharacterized. NCBI's taxonomy places the organism in Eukaryota, Metazoa, Chordata, Mammalia, Carnivora, Felidae. The record is from RefSeq and is a predicted model, not a curated record. The transcript is spliced from 2 exons.